UACGGAGGGUGCGAGCGUUGUCCGGAUUUAUUGGGUUUAAAGGGUGCGUAGGUGGUUUUUUAAGUCUGGUUUGAAAGUAGGUCGCUUAACGAUCUAACGUGGCUGGAAACUGGGGAACUUGAAUGGGUUGGCGGUAGCCGGAACGGGUCAUGUAGCGGUGAAAUGCAUAGAUAUGACCCAGAACACCGAUUGCGAAGGCAGGCUACUACGACCCUAUUGACACUGAGGCACGAGAGCAUGGGGAGCCAACAGG
RNAcentral lists this ribosomal RNA (253 nucleotides) under uncultured bacterium. Its description in RNAcentral is "partial 16S ribosomal RNA". It matches the Rfam family "Bacterial small subunit ribosomal RNA", at positions 524 to 776 of the family's 1533-position model. The record is from RNAcentral.